Molecule: long non-coding RNA, 2742 nt
Organism: Drosophila santomea
Lineage: Eukaryota; Metazoa; Arthropoda; Insecta; Diptera; Drosophilidae
Exons: 3
Source: RefSeq, a predicted model, not a curated record
GGAACAUAAGAAGUAGCAGUUGUGAAGAUAUGUAAUCGUAUCGAUGACAUUUAAAUUAAAAAAAAAAAAUUUUUUAAGUGCUUAAAACAAUCAAUAUUGUCAAUAGAAUCUGCAUGUCUACUCUAAAUUUUUUAUGUUUUACAGUUUUCCAAAUCUCGACAUUCACACGGACAUGGCGAGAUCAACUUUUGCUCCUGAUUAAGAAUAAACAAAAUAAAUGAUUUUUAUAAAUGUACCCAAAUUCUAUAAAAACUGAAAUUUAAAGUCAUUUGGAGUAAAUAAAUUUUUUAAAUUUAACCAGAACAGCUUAAUCACAACAGAUUAAUAUUGAUAGGAUUUACCUUGAUCAAGUUUUAAAUCUAAAGAAAUUAAGAAGGUUUUGAUCGUUAGAAAAAAGAUAAGGACCGACGUUUUACUUUCAAGAAAGCCAGAGUUCCCCGAAUUAUCUUCCAAAAGUAAUGAUGAAUAUAAUAAAUCAUUUUAAAUUACAAAUUAAUUAAUGUUUCAUCGGCAGAAAGAAAAAACUUUGAUUUGAAUUUGAAGUCGCAAGGCACAACAAAGAAGCGUUUCAGAACCUUUUACUUUUCAGAAGUAUACUAUGAAUACGAUCCCAUGAUUAAAAUUGAAAAAUUUUUAUAAACUGAAAAUGUGUUUACAAAUUAUUCAAAAACACAAAUCAUCGGACCAGCUUUCAAAAACUAUUUCAAAGAAUCUGGCUUAAGUUAGUGCGAACGCCAAUACUCAAAUCAGCCCGGGGCUCAUUAAAUUUUUUUUCUAUUUCGAAAGUUGCAGAUUGGCAAAAUUUAUUCCUCAUUCCACAUGCCUCUGUUCUAGUUGUGACCCAUAGCGCUGAGCUGCCGACUCAUCAAACAGUCGAAAAACUUGUACCCAAAUUGUACGUUUUCCCGCUGCAAGGCAUACUUGAAUAUUCCCUGCAAAUAGAAUAGCAACCCUUGAUAGCAAAGCGCUUUCUUUCAAGUACCCGAAAAACAAAGAAAUACAAAUUAAAAUCAGACAAAAACAAAAUAAAAUACAUAAACAACAUAUCUGACUUAUUUCCCGUAGUCACUACUAAGGCAGGCAGAGCGGUAGACGAGCAUUUUAAGCGCAAUACAAAAUUGUAGUGACCCUUGGCGCUAAACAGACGACCCACUAAAACGUCGGAAAACUUGUCCUCAAAUUCCAAAUUUUCCCGCUGUAAGGGAACUACUACAAACGCAUUACUAACCUAAAACAAACAAAUCGGCACACUUUGCAUGACUAUAAUUCUUCAUUGGAUUAUCAAAUCACACUUAGCAGCGCAUUCAUCAAAGCAAACCGAAGUCACCGAUGUACCUGAAAAACAAUCCAAAAUCAAACAAAACAAAUAAAUAUACAUAAAAUACUUAUCGCAUCCAAUUCCAUGGUCGAACUUGACGCUGCGGCCCAGAGCAACAACUCUCAGUCUUGCGGCUCCAAGAUGUCACCCCUCGGGGAUCCUCGACCGAGAUCCACUCAAAUGUCUCGUGCAGCCGCCCCUCUCCAAAUUCUUCCCACUCGAAAACCGGCGAAAAAUACCUUUAAUUUGAAAUUAAUUGUAACGACGAAUAAAUACUACUGGAGCGGUAGAAUUCACCACAAAGUAACGGCUGCGAGGGAAUUCCACUGCAAUUAUACUUACCUGCAACGCUUGCCCAAUUUGAAUCGUUGCAAAUGAAUCUCGCAACGGUUACAAAUCAGGAUCAAGAAACUCCAAACAUCCACCUGCAACGACUUCUGGGGCCUCCAACAUUCUUAUUGCUUCCGUCCUUUCGGCGGGGUUAACUAAAAGAAACUCAUGAUCAAUGUUAAAUCCAAUUAAUGGCCUCUCUUUCUCAAAUUUGUAUAAUGUUAAUUGUAUAAUGUACAAUGUUAAUGUUAAUAAUAAAACUAAUAAAACAAAUCAGAGCAAUGUAAAAUAAUGUUUUAAAGUAAACAAACUAUGUCAAACCCCUAAACUCACCCCAACCAUGUAAAAUCUCAAAAUUUAACUAAUUGUACCUAUAUAUUGUACUCGUUGAAAUCAGAGGCAAAAUAAAUUGUGGAGGCUUGUGGCAGAUUUCAUUCUGCUCCCGCUUGUCUAAUUUAUUUAAAAAUGGGACUGGCGACUAGAGCCUAGCUGGGAAGUUCCACUGAGAAUGGCGAAGAAGAAGACGAGGUUUGUUUCCAAGUGUUUAUUGCGCGGGCGCAGCCAGCAGCUCCGACAUCAGUUUUACGACUCUUUUUAGCGAGCAGCAUGCAAACAUUCUAAUGCGACGAAGGGCGAACGCUUAUCAGGUUGAUUUAAACUACUCGACUAAGCGCUAGCUUGAGCGCACUGAUAAGCUUUUUACAUUUCAUUUGUUUACAUUUCAUAUUACAUUCAUAUUUAACAAUAAGUAAGCUUAUAUAUAAUUUAUAUUUAACAAUGAAAACUUAAACUACUGCUCCAACACCUUUUGUUUAAAUUAUAAUAUUUUAACAUGAUAUUAAAGGCCUCGUUUCUUAGAAUCGGAAGCCUAUGACACUGGCACGUAUCUGGUCCUUCCGAAGCGUCAUCAUCACUUCAGGAACAAAACUUGUAGUGGAAUCCAUACUUCGAGUGGAUCAGUUCUUUAUCCUUCAAAUCCUCCAGAGUGCUCUUCAAAUAUAUAAGCUGCGUUACCUGUUCCUCAAAUAUCUUGUCUUCGAACUGCAUCAAGAAGAGCUCAAUUUGUUUCGAGUCCAUUUUCGUUAAGGUUCUUU